GAAGUUCAGGAAUCCCACGUGACGUCACCGGGGGGGUGAUGUAAUGCACUCUAAAUAGAAUGUAUUGUAAUCUUUGCUCAGUCCAACGUGGUCCCUUCACCCGGGCUCUGCUCUUGCCUUCUCCACACUUGUUUGAGACCUGGCAAGGUGCGGAAUCCUCCAGAAGUGCGAUCAAGCGGCGGCAGCAGCGGCGGCAGCGGAGACGGCGAGCCAUGAACCUCCCCUCGCGUCCCCAACUUCUCAGUGAUGCGGCGGAACCCCCGGAGAAAGUUUGCAAACUUCCAGCGGGCGUGGCGAGGACGCCGGGUCACCUAGGGGGCGGACAGGCGAGCGCGUGGGGGGCUCGGUCCCUCCCGGGUGCCGGAACCUGCUGCUGCCACCUCUCCCGCAGGGCUGCCCGCCGCAGGUGGUGGGCGCGCGCGCCCGGGGAGGGGACGUCGCGCUUGGAGGGCACUUGGCUUUCACUCCCGGCACGGAAGGCUCGAGAGUGUCGAGGCUCUGCUCGCCUUCACUCUUCCAGCCUCCUCUUGCCUCCGUCCGGUUCUCGCUGGCAUCAUUACCUCUUCGCCGCUACCCCAAAUGACAGCUCCCGCUUUUGCCGCGGCGGCGCGGUGGCAGUUCCCAGGACCCGGCGGUGGAGCCUUCCUCUCCGGCAGAUUCUCCACGGAAUCGGUUAAAACUUUUCACGAUGUUCUUAGAGGGGCAAGACGCACCAAGGAACCAAGGGGAUGUUUUCUCCCCGGGGCUGCAUCCCGCUUUUCCUUUGCCAUAGAUUUAUUUCGGGAGAGUGGUUUAUCUGGUAGAUAAAGCCUCGGAUCUUGUCCACUCCUUCCCCAACUUUCCCUGAACGGUUGCCGCCCCCACUUGAGGCUUGUUCAAGGCCAGGAACUAAGUGGAGUGGUUGUAUAUUUCGUUGUCAGAAUCCGCAGUGUUUGAUUUUUAUUUUUCCCUCCUUCUCUGACAUGUGUCAAGGAAUAAAGGCAGGAUACAGGUCCAUUACGUCAUUCUGCAGGCCAGUAAGUGAUUAACAGCUUCAGAUACUCAAGGGUUGGGGGCUUAGAAAUGCUGACAAAGCAACUAUGCUUUCCAUCCCCAGCCCCCAACAUACUCGUACAAUCGCUGGUUCCAUGGGCAUCUUUAUUGCCCUCUCCUCCUGGUCCCCUCUUUCUCCACCCCCUCUCCCUCCCACACCGUUAUCACGGUGGCCCCGCCUCCGCCUUUUACUGCUUUCCCUGGGGGCGAUCACAGUCCCUGGAGUGUGUGUAAGAGCUUCUGGUGGCUGAGGGGGGCACAGUACCUAUCAGCGCACACGCAAUCUACCCUUUUCUAUUAUUUAAGAAAGGCACCGGCCAGCCCUCUUCUCCAGGGCAAAAAUGCUCAGCCCUGAUAGAAAAGGCAUCCGAGGAAAUGUUUAGAGACGUUAUGAUAAUACUAUGUCCCUGUGGUGACUCAGGAAAACAACACACCCACUACAGAGUACUUAAUUUUGCAUAGCGCCUUCCUCUGACCGGUUAGCCGAAGAGAGAUGAAGUGAGAUGCUAACUAAAUGAAUUCUAGCUAAACGGCUCAAGAUUAAACGUUUCAUUUCCAGAGUGAGGGAAUGUGAGUCGUUGAACCCAAAGUACCAAGCAAUAAAUUGGUGCAUGUGUUAUUUUCUUUCUUAACCUUAAGUUUCUGUAUUUAAAGGGGAAGUUAAAUACAUAAGUCACUGAAUUGAGUCAGAAUCUCCGUAUCUGGCAGUUGAAAUAAAAAUACUGCGUGUGACAUGUUUAAGGGGUAAAAGUAAGAAGAACUCUGGNGGGGAGGGGGUGGGGGGACGGGACGGGGUGGUGGGUAUGAGCGAUGUGCAGCAGGAAUCAAAGAUUUCCUAACAGCUUUUGGAGGGUGGGGGGCAGAGGAGUUGAGUGCUCUCUGAUUUGGAGUCGGUGAAAGCGAAAUAAAGGAAAAUUUAUAUCUCGAGUAUGUGGGAAUUUCUUGAAGAACACAUGUUUUGUUAUAAUCAGAUCUACUUUCUUCAAAGUGAAAGCCCUGCUGUAGAGUAGGCAUUUGUGAAACUCCUGUCUGGGUCUAAUUGACACCCUUCCCCAAGUCUGUGGCAGAAUUUAUUAUUUAUUCACGUCUAGAGAUGUAAUAGUAUAACCCCCACAC
Long non-coding RNA from Camelus dromedarius (Arabian camel), 2148 nucleotides. NCBI's taxonomy places the organism in Eukaryota, Metazoa, Chordata, Mammalia, Artiodactyla, Camelidae. The record is from Ensembl.